AUAUUGUUAAAAUGUGAUUAGCAGAUCCCAACUAGUUUGGGAUUAAGACUGAGUUGAGUUGUAUAUUGUUAAAAUGAGAUGGGACUAUAUGUUGUUUUAAAAAAAGUAUAUUAUCAUUUUGACUUUUGUUUUAAUGGAUGAAAUCAAGGUUUUCGGAGCUAGAAUCGGGACUCGUGCCUGCUGGCUGGCGGUAUAAGUUGGUAUGCCUUUGUAUCAGACCGGAUCGGUGCAAACCGACAUGGCAGAUAAGGGAAGAGGGAGAAGAAAUAAAGGAAGAGAGAGGGGGGAGAAGGAGAGGAAGAGAGGGAGAGGGAGAGAGGAGG
Molecule: long non-coding RNA, 323 nt
Filed under: Elaeis guineensis (African oil palm)
Lineage: Eukaryota; Viridiplantae; Streptophyta; Magnoliopsida; Arecales; Arecaceae
Description: long non-coding RNA (EGUI_LNC008807)
Source: RNAcentral